CCUACGGGAGGCAGCAGUGGGGAAUAUUGGGCAAUGGGCGCAAGCCUGACCCAGCAACGCCGCGUGAAGCAAGAAGGCUUUCGGGUUGUAAACUUCUUUUCUCAGGGACGAAGCAAGUGACGGUACCUGAGGAAUAAGCCACGGCUAACUACGUGCCAGCAGCCGCGGUAAUACGUAGGUGGCAAGCGUUAUCCGGAUUUACUGGGUGUAAAGGGCGUGUAGGCGGGAAAGCAAGUCAGAUGUGAAAACCAUGGGCUCAACCUGUGGCCUGCAUUUGAAACUGUUUUUCUUGAGUACUGGAGAGGCAGACGGAAUUCCUAGUGUAGCGGUGAAAUGCGUAGAUAUUAGGAGGAACACCAGUGGCGAAGGCAGCUCACUGGACUGCAACUGACACUGAGGCUCGAAAGUGUGGGUAUCAAACAGGAUUAGAUACCCUUGUAGUC
Molecule: ribosomal RNA, 443 nt
Filed under: uncultured bacterium
Lineage: Bacteria
Description: partial 16S ribosomal RNA
Rfam family: Bacterial small subunit ribosomal RNA
Source: RNAcentral